RNAcentral lists this ribosomal RNA (507 nucleotides) under uncultured bacterium. RNAcentral describes it as "partial 16S ribosomal RNA". It matches the Rfam family "Bacterial small subunit ribosomal RNA", at positions 28 to 523 of the family's 1533-position model. The record is from RNAcentral.
GAUGAACGCUAGCUACAGGCUUAACACAUGCAAGUCGAGGGGCAGCGGUAUCGAAAGCUUGCUUUCGGUAGCCGGCGACCGGCGCACGGGUGAGUAACGCGUAUCGAACCUGCCUCAUACGUGGGCAUAGCCGUGCGAAAGUAAGAUUAAUCCCCGGUGUUUUCAGAGUCACGCAUGAGUGUUUGAACAACGAUUUAUUGGUAUGAGAUGGCGAUGCGUCCCAUUAGCUUGUUGGUGGGGUAACGGCCAACCAAGGCAUCGAUGGGUAGGGGUUCUGAGAGGAAGGACCGCCACAUUGGAACUGAGACACGGUCCAAACGCCUACGGGAGGCAGCAGUGAGGAAUAUUGGUCAAUGGGCGGAAGCCGGAACCAGCCAAGCAGCGUGCAGGAAGACGGCCCUCCGGGUUGUAAACUUCUUUUAGUUGGGAAUAAAACGGGCUCGUGAGCCCCCAUGCAUGUACCAUCAGAAAAAGGACCGGCUAAUUCCGUGCCAGCCGCCGCAGUAA